AGAGUUUGAUCAUGGCUCAGAGUGAACGCUGGCGGCGUGCUUAACACAUGCAAGUCGAACGGUAACAGCAGUGCUUGCACUGGCUGACGAGUGGCGAACGGGUGAGUAAAGUAUAGUUAAUUUGCCUUUAGGAUAGGGAUAGCCAUUGGAAACGAUGAUUAAUACCUAAUAUACCUUAUUAUGUAGUGUAAUAAGGGAAAUGCUUUUGUGCCUAAAGAUAAGACUAUAUGGUAUCAGGUAGUUGGUGGGGUAAGAGCCUACCAAGCCAAUGACGCCUAGCUGGUCUGAGAGGAUGAUCAGCCACACUGGAACUGAGACACGGUCCAGACUCCUACGGGAGGCAGCAGUGGGGAAUAUUGCACAAUGGAGGAAACUCUGAUGCAGCAACGCCGCGUGGAGGAUGACGCAUUUCGGUGUGUAAACUCCUUUUAUAUGGGAAGAUAAUGACGGUACCAUAUGAAUAAGCACCGGCUAACUCCGUGCCAGCAGCCGCGGUAAUACGGAGGGUGCAAGCGUUACUCGGAAUCACUGGGCGUAAAGCGCAUGCAGGCGGUCUAAUAAGUUGGAAGUGAAAGCCUAUGGCUCAACCAUAGAACUGCUUCCAAAACUGUUAGACUAGAGUCUGGAAGGGGAAGAUGGAAUUAGUAGUGUAGGGGUAAAAUCCGUAGAGAUUACUAGGAAUACCAAAAGCGAAGGCGAUCUUCUGGAACAGUACUGACGCCGAGAUGCGAAAGCGUGGGGAGCAAACAGGAUAGAUACCCUGGUAGUCCACGCAGUAAACGAUGAAUGUUAGUCGUUGGUAUCCUAGAGAUAUCAGUGAUGCAGUUAACACAUUAAACAUUCCGCCUGGGGAGUACGGUCGCAAGAUUAAAACUCAAAGGAAUAGACGGGGACCCGCACAAGUGGUGGAGCAUGUGGGUUUAAUUCGAAGAUACGCGAAGAAACC
This 946-nucleotide ribosomal RNA is filed under the name uncultured Campylobacterota bacterium. RNAcentral's name for it is "bacterial SSU rRNA". It matches the Rfam family "Bacterial small subunit ribosomal RNA", at positions 8 to 971 of the family's 1533-position model. Lineage: Bacteria; Pseudomonadati; Campylobacterota. The record is from RNAcentral.